RNAcentral lists this ribosomal RNA (253 nucleotides) under uncultured bacterium. Its description in RNAcentral is "partial 16S ribosomal RNA". It matches the Rfam family "Bacterial small subunit ribosomal RNA", at positions 524 to 776 of the family's 1533-position model. The record is from RNAcentral.
UACAGAGGUCUCAAGCGUUGUUCGGAUUCAUUGGGCGUAAAGGGUGCGUAGGUGGCGCGCUAAGUCGGGUGUGAAAUCUCGGAGCUUAACUCCGAAAUUGCAUUCGAUACUGGCGUGCUUGAGGACUGGAGAGGAGACUGGAAUUCAUGGUGUAGCAGUGAAAUGCGUAGAGAUCAUGAGGAAGACCAGUGGCGAAGGCGGGUCUCUGGGCAACAACUGACGCUGAGGAGCGAAAGCGUGGGGAGCGAACAGG